GCAUCAUGGACAACCAAGCCAGCCCCCUUGGUUGGAGUCGGGAGUUCCCUUUGCUUCCCUAAGAAAUCUGCAGACUCGCAGACAGGGCCAACCACAUCAAAAGUCGAGAUCUCAGCACCAGGUGACGAAGGAGCAACCAACUCUAUGUGUUGAUAAGCAUCAUAAAGACUAGGGCGGAUAAGUUCAGCCAUGCUUCCAUCGAUAACAAUAAAGUUUUUAGUCCCAUUAGUUUUGACCCCUGUCACUCGAUUAACCAAACAGCAAGUAUUG
RNAcentral lists this unclassified non-coding RNA (270 nucleotides) under Hevea brasiliensis (rubber tree). The record is from RNAcentral. Lineage: Eukaryota; Viridiplantae; Streptophyta; Magnoliopsida; Malpighiales; Euphorbiaceae.